Non-coding RNA from Coturnix japonica (Japanese quail), 5808 nucleotides. Lineage: Eukaryota; Metazoa; Chordata; Aves; Galliformes; Phasianidae. The record is from RefSeq and is a predicted model, not a curated record.
UGGCGAAGUAGGGGUUGUGGGGCGCCUGAGGUGGGCUGUGCUGUGGUGGGAUAUGAGGGGGAUUUAGUAGUUUAUUAAGGGUUGUGGUGGGUCUCUAGGGGCUGUAGUGCGUUAUUAGGUGCUGUAGAGCUUGGGGUGGGGUGUAACUUGUGGCUGCAGAGCGGUGUGGGUGCUGUGGUGGGCUAUAGGGUGCGGGUGCUGUGGUGGGCUAUAGGGUGUGGCUUUGUAGGGGGCUGCAGUGAGUUUGUGGAGCUUUGAGGGGCAUUAGGGCUCUGAGGUGUAAUUUGGGGCUGUGUGUGUGUUGGUUGCCCCAUUGAUCUGUAGUGAGCUGUAGGAGGAUGCCCUGUGGGGCUUUAAUGUAGCACUGGGGCUGUAAGAGCUGACGUGGGAUGUGGGGCAGUGCCUACGGGGCUGUGGGGCUGCAGUGGGUGAUGGACACCAUAGAGCCUGGAGUUGGAUGUAGUUUGUAUCUGCAAGGCUGUAUGGGAGGUGUGGGAUCCAUCCUUUGGGGUUGUAGAGGGGCAACAGAGCCCUGAGGGGCUGCGGUGGGUUGUAGGGUCAAAGGGGGGAUGCUCUAUGAGCUGUGUGAGGAAGGAGCUGUAGCAAAACCAAGGCGUGAUGUGACCUCGUCCAGCUCCUGUGAUGAUCCCUGCUUGCUUCUUCCUGCUACGCGAAUGGACCUGAAAUUGCAAACACCCAUGUAAUUUCCAAGCAUGUAUCGAACCCCCACCAAAGUCAAGGGAAGGCUUGAGGAAUCCCUAGAGCAAUGUUGGGAUGCUUGAGAAACAAGAGGAGAGAUUUCAAGACCGGGGACAAAAACAAAACUAAAAUAACAAGAAAAACACCGAUAAGGCGACAACAAAUAAACAGCUGUCAGUUGGAAAUGACAGAUUGCAGAGAUAUUAUCAGGCAGGACAGCAAAAUGCCUGGCUAGAUUAAAUUAACACAAGGAUAUUUUUUUUUCACCAUUUAUUUUAGGAAAGCAAGUGAGAAUGCUGCAACAAAAUCUGUCCGCAGAGGAAACAUUCUUGCAGCAGCCUUGGAGGCUGAGGAUCUCAAGAGUGACGGGGAGCAGCGAGCACAUUGUCUUGAGACCCUAUUUCGGGACCUGAGGGAAUGGUGCUUCUUACUGCAUCAGCGCAGCAAAAACUUGCAUGCAAGGAGAAAAUAUUCUACCUUGGCAUUUGGAGCCUCACUAACAAGCAGCCAGAGAGGAGCGAUGCCAUAUAAAACUGUAACCUCUAAGUAUGAAAUUUUGGAGGUUGCAGCAAGCGGUGAGUGCCAGCUCCAUGCCGGCAGCAGGGAGGAGGCAGAGGGAACGCCAUCAGCUCGCUACUCGUUGCUGCACAGAGCACAUAGCCCCAGGAGUUUCUCUGCCCGGUGUCCUGUUACCACUUGAAUCAAGAUGUGAAUGCCAAGCCAGCUUAUUUUUAGCACAAUUUGGACCUAAAGAAGCAAACGCUGGUGAGAUACGCAGUACCUGACAGCCUUGGAAAAUCUUUAUUCGUUUGCAGUACAGGAAGCAGGGAAGGAUGCGAGAAAGCAAAGCAAUCCCAAGCUGCAAACCAAGUCUCCCAGCUUCUUGGGCUCAGCCUCCCUAGCACUGCACGGAUCCUGGCAGUAGCUGGGAGAGGGUUUUUCCACGCUCAGAGCAGGCCUGGCACGGCAGGGAGGAGUGCGGCGUGCCGCAGAUUUGGACAGCCUGCAAGCCUCCAGCUGAGCUCACUGCGUCUGUUGGAGCUCAACUGCAGCAGCGGUGGGGCUGUAAAAAUGGGAGAGACACGGAAAACUUGAGUAUCUGAGCCCUGCUCUUCUAAGCUCUGCGAAUUUACUGUGUUAAUUCAACACUGGAUCUGUGCAACUGGGCUGUCCAAUGGCACUGAUGCUGCCCUGUACCACCUCUAACAAUCACUCAGACCCUCUGCUCUGUGGAAAAACCCAAAAAGGGAACACUUAUGACACAACCAUCAUGCCGAGCAGGCAUGUUUCUAUCCCCAUCUCUUGGAAUCUUGCUGAAAUCUGCCAGUGCAUUUAGGCAUCUGCAGGACCUGAGCUGGCUGGGGGCUGGUGGACCCCUCUAGCAGUUGGCUGGAGUGGAGAUGGGGCCGUGAAGAGGAGCAGAGAAGCAAAGUGGGUCUGUUCAGCUUUUGGGGCACAGCUAGGAGGUCCCUGGAUGUGUGCUGGGAACAGUAGUUGGGGCUGUUGAAGGUGACCACAGGAGAUAUCCCUUGCAUCUCUCUGCCAGGAGGAUGUGCAUGCAGCGUUAACUCACUGGUCAUCAAUAGGUCUGAAAUCCAAUGACGGACAGCUCAGGGAUCUGACAAUUGUUUGUGUCUGCCUCGAGACAAAUAUCUCGUUGCCCCCUUUGCAAAUUUGCUCCUCUGCUGCGCGUGUGUUUCGAGUUUCCUCAUGCAAAACCUGCGUGGGUGUUUGGAUAUGUAAUGAGCGCAUAGUUCAGGAUGAAAACAAGUUGCCUGGAAGAGCCAAGUAACGCCAAAAAAAUGAAAGCAAUACAAACAACAACAUGGCACACAGCCAUACCAGCUAGACUGUGGGCCAGCCGGAUCUCACGUACUCUCCGGAGCUGCAGAGCCGAUCAGCUGUUGGAAAAAGAGACCUUUAAAGACAAGUGAGAGGAAAUAGCAUUGGCAGUGCAGGCCACAGUAUGUUUCCUUCCAAAGCAGGACAGAGCCAAGGACAUGAGGCAGAGCUGUAACAUUUGGGGUCUCGUUGCUCAGCAAGUCAAAAACCUCCAGUGGGUUGUAGCUGUGUAAACACCUAUUGUUUUCUGAGCAGAAUCAGAGCACUGGCCUGAUCGAGUAUUGUCACAACAGAUUUUGGCAAUGCUUGCUUACCUAAGUGAGCUCCCUCUGCAAAACUAAGCCCUGGCUUUAACUCAGUGCUGCGUGCUGGGGAAAUAAACCUGCCUGCCUACACAGCACUCCGGCUGGAGGGUAUCUUCCAAGGCCUCCCAUAGGAUCUUCGAAGAAAAACACCAUUAGCCUAUGGACCAGAGCAGAACCAGAGCAAUUCCAAAAACAUUCCCAGAGUGGCCUCACUAAUUAUUAUCUCAUUUUGUUAGCGUGAAUGGGGAAAAAAAUGUGGUGAGGCUGUUUGAAAUGCAUUUUCUGCAGAGCCUGAAUGAAUUUCUGUAUAAAAAGAGGGGUGAGAACAGGCCUCGGAGACAGGUGACGUAAUUUUUCCCUCGCCCUCAUCCAUUUGGAGCAAGGGAUCAUCUGUACCUCCUUAUAACACUGUGAAACAGUACUUCUUUCAGCUUAAGAAAAUAGGUCUAGUUGUGUAGACUCUGCUCCAAGCAUCUGCUCCUAGGCCAUUCACUUAAAUACCUGUCUGAGAACUCUUCACCAGCUCUUAGAGCACCUGUUCAUUGGUUAAAGGCUUGAAUCAGUGAAAGCUUGUUGGCAGUCUGGAAGGUUGAAAGGGGCCUUAAAUACCAGAGCUUCCAUAUGCAUAUUGGCAUUUUUCUUUGCAUAAAUGCCAGCUUUAAAAGGCUUGUUUUACAAAGCACAAACACACUUCUAUGAUGAUUUUUUUUUUUUUACAUCAAGGUCAGUAACUCAGCUUCAUUCAUCAGUCUCCAGCUGCAAACAUGCCCCAGACAAUGGAGAAGAGUGUAUCUGAGCCAGGAAGUGCCAUUUAAAGGGGAUGUGAGUGGCUCUGAACCGCACUGGGGAAAGAGGAUCUUGGUGCCCUUGUGCACUCAGCCCUGCAUGAACUGAAAUAGGGUGCUUGAGGGCAGGAAAAGCUGCUUAGGUGGGCACAAAUAACACUCACACUCAGUAAGCUUCAGUAAAAUGCACCUCUCAAAUGUCACCGCUGUGCUGUCGACUCUGGUGUGAUGCAGCCAACGUUGUGCUCCCCUCCACAAAGGCAGAGAGCGCCCGUAGGAAGCAGACAAGAUAAUCCCAGCUAAAAAUACUUAUUCUUUCCCUGGCAGGUGCUUACACCGUGUGCACGGUGUUUUCACGGUGACAUGCUUGUGUACCCGUUGCACUCUGCUCAUCUCCUGCUUCGGUGCUUCUCUUCCUUCCAAGCAAAGCGCUUGGGCAUUGUGAUUAUUGCGCUGAAUCACCCAGAGAGGAUGCUCCGUCCUGUGUUUCAGAUGCAAAAUGUGCCUUGGAAUUCAAUAGUUGCUAUAGUGCUGUAAUUACACAUUUUAUGGAGUAGUUAGUCACAAUGGCUAGAGCUGUUGUUAUCAGGCUUGGACUCCUUCUGCUGCUUUAUUUUAAAGACCUCCCUGUUAAACAUCUACUCUCUGCGUUAAAAAUAGUUUGUUUCAGCAUUUGUAUCCCUCCAAAAGUAACCACAAUUCAUGGCUGGUGGAGAACAAGUCCUCAGCUGUGUGGAGGGACAGGGUUUGUAGCCUGCUUUUUUACCAUGGGAGUUGUGAUGCUGUAGCAUUGGGUGCUCCAAAAUGCUCCUUAAAGUCAGCUGCAAUGACACCAGCUGAGUAUUUCCAGGAUUCAGGAGUUCUUGAGUGCUGAUCUCAGCAACUUUGCUGUCUAUGGUGUGGAGAGGACUUGCACAACCUGCUCAGGGCACUGUACCAACCAAGAUCCUCCUCUUCCCUUCAGCAGUAUGGAGAAAGUGAACUCCUUGGGUGCUGCUUCUAGAAGAUGACAGCCUACCACAAUGGGACACGGCUUUGGUGAGGAUGAAUCCUUGUACCAAGGUGUUGACCACUCUAGGAGAAGCUCAGCAGUAAUGCAAGCAGCUGAGAUAAGCAAGAUAAGCACCGUGCUCAACAUCCCUCCUCUGGUUGGCAGGGAUACUCACCACACUACACCAUAGGGUUGGCUUUUACCCUGUUAACCACGUCUUCUGCCCAGGUUUCCCUAUCUGGAGAGUGGAGCUAACUGCUUAAUUGCCUACUUUCUAAGGAGUCAGGCAGGAUAAUUAGCUAAUGUUUGGGUAAUGCGUCAUAGGGUAAGAGUGCUAAGUAGUAUUACUGUCAGCAGCACAGUGGGAAGUGAAGGACUCAAUCUUGUUUUUCAAUCGGGAAUGUCACGGUCUUCCCUUAAGCUCAUUGUUCACAUUGACUGCUGAGGGCAGGGGACUUGGGUGAAAAGUUUCAAGGAGGAGGAUGCCAACCAAGGGCAGCAGUGAGCUGUUAGAAUAGCUUGGUGUGCUUUGGAAAGAGAAAACUGAAAAUGAUGACAAAGGCAGGGAACACGCCUGGAGCAGCACAGAGAGGACUCGUGUCUGUAAGCCUAAUUAUUCAAUAGCAACAUCCUCUGAGUCAUAAAAGUGCAUCGGGGAAAGUUUUCUUGUGUUGCAUUUGUUGCAUGCAUGCAGCGCUGUGGGAAGCAUGAUGCAGAAACCCAUCCAGCUCUCCCUGGGGACUGAAGUAGACUCAAGCUAAAAGAGGUUUUGCGUCUUUAAUUUCUAUUAUUCUGCAAAUUACGUUAUGGAUGAACUUUAUACCCUCCUCAUGUCCGUUGAUGGUAACUGAUGAGUUUUCAAUUGUGCCUCAUUGAAGUUAAACAUCUGAGAGAUACUUUGCUUAAUAGUUUGCCUUUCAGAGCACUGCAUUAGCUCCCUUGUGCUCCAGUCUGCUUAAUUUAGAGCGAGUGCCCGAAAGUGGUGCAAUUAAGGAAGGAAUCUUGGGCAAAAGCUCUUGGUGCUUUCAAAUGACCAGCAGACCCUUCAGUGCUGGCUUGUUUUUACCAUAGCUAGAACAACACUUUCCGUGACUCACUCUUCAUUAUUCUCUGGAUUCACAAACAAAUGUUUUUAACCUCUUUCUGUUGUAUCUGAGAAUAAUUAAACCCUCAUCUCUGUCUCUGA